Molecule: non-coding RNA, 28 nt
Filed under: Homo sapiens (human)
Lineage: Eukaryota; Metazoa; Chordata; Mammalia; Primates; Hominidae
Source: RNAcentral
UCUCUAAGUGUGGCUGUACCUCGUGGGU